GUCCGGCCGGUUACAGGAAACAGAAACUCCUGUUCAGCGGAGUUUCUGUUUCCUGUAACCGGCCGGAC
Molecule: microRNA precursor, 68 nt
Filed under: Pelobates cultripes (western spadefoot toad)
Lineage: Eukaryota; Metazoa; Chordata; Amphibia; Anura; Pelobatidae
Source: RNAcentral